Molecule: ribosomal RNA, 497 nt
Filed under: uncultured bacterium
Lineage: Bacteria
Description: partial 16S ribosomal RNA
Rfam family: Bacterial small subunit ribosomal RNA
Source: RNAcentral
GAUGAACGCUGGCGGCGUGCCUAAUACAUGCAAGUCGAGCGAACAGACGAGGAGCUUGCUCCUCUGACGUUAGCGGCGGACGGGUGAGUAACACGUGGAUAACCUACCUAUAAGACUGGGAUAACUUCGGGAAACCGGAGCUAAUACCGGAUAAUAUAUUGAACCGCAUGGUUCAAUAGUGAAAGACGGUUUUGCUGUCACUUAUAGAUGGAUCCGCGCCGCAUUAGCUAGUUGGUAAGGUAACGGCUUACCAAGGCAACGAUGCGUAGCCGACCUGAGAGGGUGAUCGGCCACACUGGAACUGAGACACGGUCCAGACUCCUACGGGAGGCGGCAGUAGGGAAUCUUCCGCAAUGGGCGAAAGCUUGACGGAGCAACGCCGCGUGAGUGAUGAAGGUCUUCGGAUCGUAAAACUCUGUUAUUAGGGAAGAACAAAUGUGUAAGUAACUAUGCACGUCUUGACGGUACCUAAUCAGAAAGCCACGGCUAACUACGUG